GAAAUCAUUUUAAUUUAAAAUGAAUGCUCAAUUGCUUCCACGUACAUGUAGUUACAUGUCGUGUUCAACUCAAUCACCUUAAUGUCACAUAAGUUUGGUGAACGAUCAGAGGGGUUUAAAAUAUUAAAUUUAUUGAGUUGAGAAGUUAAAAUGACAAAAAGCUAAGAAGAGAUGUUCACUUUAUAAAUUCAAACAAGUACAAGGGUCCAGUAGACUAUUUCACCAAUAGAAAACUUACAACUUUCAAUAAUUUAGAUACAAAACUAAAAAAACUGAAAUAAUUACCACAAUAAUUUCAUGCUAAUAUAGAUGUCUCCAACUGUAAGAUCCCAUAAGAUCCUAGUCCAUUUCAGUCUUAUAUUACAUGCCAAGAGGGUCCAAUUCUUAGAAAAUUUAGCUAAGUGUUAGAGACUUAGUCUUAUUUUGG
This 427-nucleotide long non-coding RNA is filed under the name Capsicum annuum. Its description in RNAcentral is "long non-coding RNA (CANN_LNC015991)". The record is from RNAcentral. Lineage: Eukaryota; Viridiplantae; Streptophyta; Magnoliopsida; Solanales; Solanaceae.